RNAcentral lists this non-coding RNA (30 nucleotides) under Mus musculus (house mouse). Lineage: Eukaryota; Metazoa; Chordata; Mammalia; Rodentia; Muridae. The record is from RNAcentral.
UGCAUUUGUUUGAGACUGCUGACUAGUUAC